UUUUUUUUUUUUUUUCAAAUAUAUUUAACCUACCGUAUAAUCAUUGUGUCAGGCUGUCUUAGUUAGAGUUUUAUUGCUGUGAACAGACACCAUGACCAAGGCAACUCUUAUAAGGACAGCAUUUAAUUGGGGCUGGCUUACAGGUUCAGAGGUUCAGUCCAUUUUAUUUUUUUUUUCUUUUUUUUUUUUCUUUUUUUCGGAGCUGGGGACCGAACCCAGGGCCUUGCGCUUGCUAGGCAAGCGCUCUACCACUGAGCUAAAUCCCCAACCCGGUUCAGUCCAUUUUCAUCAAGGCAGGAACAUGGCAGCAUCCAGGCAGGCAUGGUACAGGAGGAGCUGAGUUCUACAUCUUCAUCUGAAGGCUGCUAGCAGAUACUGGCUUCCAGGCAGCUAGGAUGAGGGUCUCAAAGCCCAUGCCCACAGUGACACACCUACUCCAACAGGGCCACAUCCCGUAGUAUCGCCCCUCCGUGGGUCAGGCAUAUACGGACCAUCACAAAGGCCCUUGCACAUCCAUGAGUUUCAAGUUUCUUUGUCUUCCAACUGGACCUGUGAAAGCAAGCCUGCUGGGAUACAGAGCGUGGAGCACUUGCCCUUCCUGCCGUUGUAUCUCUUCGCCUGGGACUAUUUAUUUAGUGUCUAUCAAGUUGUUAGUGUUUUUAUUGGUUUUAAGAUAAACAAGCUGUUUGAUUAGCUCAGCUUAAGAAAAUAUUCUUGUGAUUUCAAUAGUAAGUAUUUGUCAGGAGGCAAUCUGAAGGAUGUCAUUCUCAUCUAUUGUCAUCCGUGUGAAGUCUAGGACUCUGUCUGCAUGGUCUCACCAAAGCUGUCUGCAUCUCUGAACUUCACAUGGGGUCAUCUGAUUCAUAUAUGUGUAUAGCACUUUGUUCUGGUGUACUGGAAUGUUAAUUCUGAAUGACUUUUUAAAUAACUGAAUGGUCCCUGGCAAUGGGGAAUCUGUACUCAGAACCAGCCAGUGGGAGUAUUACAUGCUCCAGUGCUGUGCGCACUGCCUCUUGAGCUGUUAAGCAGACACUCCUACGUCGGGAGAGGGGCGCUAAGUGCGAAUUCUGUGUGCUUCGUGCAAGUUUGCUGGUUCUACUGACUCUGCACUCUAGUUUUCAUGAAGCAUAGGGGUUUAAUGGGAAAAUGUUUUGAUUCCCAAUCCAUGUGAACUUUAUAAAAAUUGGGCAAACUGUUCAAAUU
RNAcentral lists this long non-coding RNA (1203 nucleotides) under Rattus norvegicus (Norway rat). Its description in RNAcentral is "long non-coding RNA NONRATT011093". The record is from RNAcentral. Lineage: Eukaryota; Metazoa; Chordata; Mammalia; Rodentia; Muridae.